RNAcentral lists this ribosomal RNA (608 nucleotides) under Lysinibacillus fusiformis. RNAcentral describes it as "bacterial SSU rRNA". It matches the Rfam family "Bacterial small subunit ribosomal RNA", at positions 88 to 678 of the family's 1533-position model. Lineage: Bacteria; Bacillati; Bacillota; Bacilli; Caryophanales; Bacillaceae. The record is from RNAcentral.
AACGUUAGCGGCGGACGGGUGAGUAACACGUGGGCAACCUACCUUAUAGUUUGGGAUAACUCCGGGAAACCGGGGCUAAUACCGAAUAAUCUGUUUCACCUCAUGGUGAAACACUGAAAGACGGUUUCGGCUGUCGCUAUAGGAUGGGCCCGCGGCGCAUUAGCUAGUUGGUGAGGUAACGGCUCACCAAGGCGACGAUGCGUAGCCGACCUGAGAGGGUGAUCGGCCACACUGGGACUGAGACACGGCCCAGACUCCUACGGGAGGCAGCAGUAGGGAAUCUUCCACAAUGGGCGAAAGCCUGAUGGAGCAACGCCGCGUGAGUGAAGAAGGAUUUCGGUUCGUAAAACUCUGUUGUAAGGGAAGAACAAGUACAGUAGUAACUGGCUGUACCUUGACGGUACCUUAUUAGAAAGCCACGGCUAACUACGUGCCAGCAGCCGCGGUAAUACGUAGGUGGCAAGCGUUGUCCGGAAUUAUUGGGCGUAAAGCGCGCGCAGGUGGUUUCUUAAGUCUGAUGUGAAAGCCCACGGCUCAACCGUGGAGGGUCAUUGGGAAACUGGGGAGAACUUGGAGUGGAGAAGAAGGAUAGUGGAAUUCCCAGGUGG